UCGAACACGGAGAUAGCUGGUUCUCUCCGAAAUAGCUUUAGGGCUAGCCUCAAGAAAUAGAGUACUGGAGGUAGAGCACUGAUUGGACUAGGGGCCCUCACCGGGUUACCGAAUUCAGUCAAACUCCGAAUGCCAGUUACUUUUACUUGGGAGUCAGACUAUGGGUGAUAAGGUUCAUAGUCGAAAGGGAAACAGCCCAGACCGCCAGCUAAGGUCCCAAAGUAUACGUUAAGUGGAAAAGGAUGUGGAGUUGCCCAGACAACCAGGAUGUUGGCUUAGAAGCAGCCAUCAUUUAAAGAGUGCGUAAUAGCUCACUGGUCGAGUGACUCUG
RNAcentral lists this ribosomal RNA (331 nucleotides) under Paenibacillus sp. 7884-2. Its description in RNAcentral is "bacterial LSU rRNA". It matches the Rfam family "Bacterial large subunit ribosomal RNA", at positions 833 to 1161 of the family's 2925-position model. Lineage: Bacteria; Bacillati; Bacillota; Bacilli; Caryophanales; Paenibacillaceae. The record is from RNAcentral.